CUGAUUGAUGGUGCUUGCACCUGAUUGACGUUGGAUCACCAGUGAGUGGCGGACGGGUGAGUAACACGUAGGUAACCUGCCCCGGAGCGGGGGAUAACAUUUGGAAACAGAUGCUAAUACCGCAUAACAACAAAAGCCACAUGGCUUUUGUUUGAAAGAUGGCUUUGGCUAUCACUCUGGGAUGGACCUGCGGUGCAUUAGCUAGUUGGUAAGGUAACGGCUUACCAAGGCGAUGAUGCAUAGCCGAGUUGAGAGACUGAUCGGCCACAAUGGAACUGAGACACGGUCCAUACUCCUACGGGAGGCAGCAGUAGGGAAUCUUCCACAAUGGGCGCAAGCCUGAUGGAGCAACACCGCGUGAGUGAAGAAGGGUUUCGGCUCGUAAAGCUCUGUUGUUGGAGAAGAACGUGCGUGAGAGUAACUGUUCACGCAGUGACGGUAUCCAACCAGAAAGUCACGGCUAACUACGUGCCAGCAGCCGCGGUAAUACGUAGGUGGCAAGCGUUAUCCGGAUUUAUUGGGCGUAAAGCGAGCGCAGGCGGUUGCUUAGGUCUGAUGUGAAAGCCUUCGGCUUAACCGAAGAAGUGCAUCGGAAACCGGGCGACUUGAGUGCAGAAGAGGACAGUGGAACUCCAUGUGUAGCGGUGGAAUGCGUAGAU
RNAcentral lists this ribosomal RNA (659 nucleotides) under Limosilactobacillus reuteri. RNAcentral's name for it is "bacterial SSU rRNA". It matches the Rfam family "Bacterial small subunit ribosomal RNA", at positions 62 to 695 of the family's 1533-position model. Lineage: Bacteria; Bacillati; Bacillota; Bacilli; Lactobacillales; Lactobacillaceae. The record is from RNAcentral.